GGGGACGAAAGGGUUCGACAGGGAAGGUUGAGCCCGGAUUGCAGGCCGAGUUCGUCACCAACUCGAAAAUCAGGUGGCGCUAAAAGUAACUGGCAGAACAAACCAGUACGCACUGGCUGCCUAAUCUAGGCUAGUCACGUUGGGUCCAGGCCUCACCCCGAUGGGCAGGGCCCGACGCCGCAAUGUCGGGGUGCUGUCUCUCCGACGCCGAUGCAGAGAGACCUAAGACUUUUCGGCUGGCGCGGCGGCAAGUUAGCCGCGGACGUACGUCGCGCGAGAUUGAAACGACGGCUAAGCCUGUAGGAGAUUCGGGGAGGCUUUCCUCUGGACGAGGGGUUCGAUUCCCCUCCGUCUCCACCA
RNAcentral lists this transfer-messenger RNA (360 nucleotides) under Dehalococcoidia. Its description in RNAcentral is "CF-163 sp005882715 Standard tmRNA". It matches the Rfam family "transfer-messenger RNA". From Rfam's summary of the family: Bacterial tmRNA, also known as 10Sa RNA or SsrA, is named for its dual tRNA and mRNA-like properties. Its role is to liberate the mRNA from a stalled ribosome. Lineage: Bacteria; Bacillati; Chloroflexota. RNAcentral also lists the same sequence under 2 other names. The record is from RNAcentral.